ACAAUCAAAGAAUUUUGCAUUCUUAAACCCCUUCUGAGUACUUGUACUUGUUGCUUCCGUGGUCAGCAGGUGUCAUGCUUGCAUCUACCAUCAUGGUGGAUCCACGGAAGGUGCUAUAUAAACUCUGUCAUUUUGUGGUAUCAGUCUGAGUAUGUUCAAGUUACAAAUGUAA
Molecule: unclassified non-coding RNA, 172 nt
Filed under: uncultured fungus
Lineage: Eukaryota; Fungi
Description: sequence contains ITS1
Source: RNAcentral